This 200-nucleotide ribosomal RNA is filed under the name uncultured Glomus. RNAcentral describes it as "partial small subunit ribosomal RNA". It matches the Rfam family "Eukaryotic small subunit ribosomal RNA", at positions 591 to 795 of the family's 1831-position model. The record is from RNAcentral. Lineage: Eukaryota; Fungi; Glomeromycota; Glomeromycetes; Glomerales; Glomeraceae.
CCAAUAGCGUAUAUUAAAGUUGUUGCAGUUAAAAAGCUCGUAGUUGAAUUUCGGGAUCAAUAUUUCGGUCAUGCCGUUGGUAUGCACUGUUAUAAUUGAUUUCUCACCUUCUAAAGAACCGUUAUGCCAUUAAUUUGGUGUUACGGGGAAUUAGGACUGUUACCUUGAAAAAAUUAGAGUGUUUAAAGCAGGCUCACGCU